RNAcentral lists this transfer RNA (65 nucleotides) under Peripolus nepalensis. RNAcentral describes it as "tRNA-Phe". It matches the Rfam family "tRNA". From Rfam's summary of the family: Transfer RNA (tRNA) molecules are approximately 80 nucleotides in length. Their secondary structure includes four short double-helical elements and three loops (D, anti-codon, and T loops). Further hydrogen bonds mediate the characteristic L-shaped molecular structure. tRNAs have two regions of fundamental functional importance: the anti-codon, which is responsible for specific mRNA codon recognition, and the 3' end, to which the tRNAs corresponding amino acid is attached (by aminoacyl-tRNA synthetases). tRNAs cope with the degeneracy of the genetic code in two manners: having more than one tRNA (with a specific anti-codon) for a particular amino acid; and 'wobble' base-pairing, i.e. permitting non-standard base-pairing at the 3rd anti-codon position. Lineage: Eukaryota; Metazoa; Arthropoda; Insecta; Orthoptera; Acrididae. The record is from RNAcentral.
ACUCAAAUAGCUUAUAUUUAGAGCGUGACAUUGAAGAUGUUAAGGAAAUAUUUUAUUUUUGAGUA